GUAGGUCAGAGGCUAUCCAGCCCGCCUGAAAAGCGGAAGGUCGGCGGUUCGAUCCCGCCCCUGGCCA
Molecule: transfer RNA, 67 nt
Filed under: Mycobacterium marinum
Lineage: Bacteria; Bacillati; Actinomycetota; Actinomycetes; Mycobacteriales; Mycobacteriaceae
Also listed under: 1 other name
Description: tRNA-OTHER
Rfam family: tRNA
About the family: Transfer RNA (tRNA) molecules are approximately 80 nucleotides in length.
Source: RNAcentral